AUUGAACGCUGGCGGCAGGCCUAACACAUGCAAGUCGAGCGGAUGAAGGGAGCUUGCUCCUGGAUUCGGCGGCGGACGGGUGAGUAAUGCCUAGGAAUCUGCCUGGUAGUGGGGGAUAACGUCCGGAAACGGGCGCUAAUACCGCAUACGUCCUGAGGGAGAAAGUGGGGGAUCUUCGUACCUCACGCUAUCAGAUGAGCCUAGGUCGGAUUAGCUAGUUGGUGGGGUAAAGGCCUACCAAGGCGACGAUCCGUAACUGGUCUGAGAGGAUGAUCAGUCACACUGGAACUGAGACACGGUCCAGACUCCUACGGGAGGCAGCAGUGGGGAAUAUUGGACAAUGGGCGAAAGCCUGAUCCAGCCAUGCCGCGUGUGUGAAGAAGGUCUUCGGAUUGUAAAGCACUUUAAGUUGGGAGGAAGGGCAGUAAGUUAAUACCUUGCUGUUUUGACGUUACCAACAGAAUAAGCACCGGCUAACUUCGUG
RNAcentral lists this ribosomal RNA (484 nucleotides) under uncultured bacterium. RNAcentral describes it as "partial 16S ribosomal RNA". It matches the Rfam family "Bacterial small subunit ribosomal RNA", at positions 30 to 507 of the family's 1533-position model. The record is from RNAcentral.